UACGGAGGAUGCAAGCGUUAUCCGGAAUGAUUGGGCGUAAAGCGUCCGCAGGUGGCUAUGUAAGUCUGCUGUUAAAGAGUGAGGCUCAACCUCAUAAGAGCAGUGGAAACUACAUGGCUAGAGUGCGUUCGGGGCAGAGGGAAUUCCUGGUGUAGCGGUGAUAUGCGUAGAGAUCAGGAAGAACACCGGUGGCGAAAGCGCUCUGCUAGGCCGCAACUGACACUGAGGGACGAAAGCUAGGGGAGCGAAUGGG
RNAcentral lists this ribosomal RNA (253 nucleotides) under uncultured bacterium. RNAcentral's name for it is "partial 16S ribosomal RNA". It matches the Rfam family "Bacterial small subunit ribosomal RNA", at positions 524 to 776 of the family's 1533-position model. The record is from RNAcentral.